Molecule: long non-coding RNA, 313 nt
Filed under: Rhinopithecus roxellana (golden snub-nosed monkey)
Lineage: Eukaryota; Metazoa; Chordata; Mammalia; Primates; Cercopithecidae
Description: lncRNA (ENSRROG00000045980.1)
Source: RNAcentral
AAAAAAACGACAGUCAGAACUUCAGCUAAGGUACAAUAAGCUUUUGCUGUGGCAUGGCACCUGGUCUCUUUCUAGAAGGAAAGUUCAACAAACAGCACAACUCUGGACACAUUGUAUUGGUUUGAUGACCCUACCUGGAACAGGUGGAGCUGGUCUCUUGGGCAGCCUGACAUCUGGUCCACUCCUCUGUCCUAUGCCGGGAUCAUCAUGACUGUAGAGAUUACGUCACUGUUUUGCAUCCUUAUUACAUAACUCAGUUCCUGGUAGAUUGUAAGUACACAGAAGGUGUUUUCUUAAUUAAAAAAUGGAUGAC